This 307-nucleotide unclassified non-coding RNA is filed under the name Hevea brasiliensis (rubber tree). Lineage: Eukaryota; Viridiplantae; Streptophyta; Magnoliopsida; Malpighiales; Euphorbiaceae. The record is from RNAcentral.
CCCAAUUCUCUUGUCAAUUGAAAAACCCUGGCUGCACAAGUUGCUGGCAUUCUGAUUCUCCGUCCUCUACCAUCUACCUUCGUGUGUCGGUCCUUCGUGGACCGCUUCGCUGGUGUNNNNNNNCUACAUAAGUGGUGGUGGAGGUGGUUGUCGAUGUGGUUGUAACUAUGGAAAGAUUCUGCUGCUGCUGAUUCUUCUUUGCUGAGCCUAAAAAAGGCCCAGAUCUAGUGGCGAUGGCGAGAGACGCGUCGACGAGGUGGGGCGGAGCUGCAGAAGAAGUGGAGGUGGAAGUGGAAGAGGAGGAAGA